GGGCCUAUAGCUCAGUGGUAGAGCCACCGGCUCAUAACCGGUUGGUCCUAGGUUCGAAUCCUAGUAGGCCCA
RNAcentral lists this transfer RNA (72 nucleotides) under Megasphaera cerevisiae DSM 20462. It matches the Rfam family "tRNA". Rfam says of the family: Transfer RNA (tRNA) molecules are approximately 80 nucleotides in length. Lineage: Bacteria; Bacillati; Bacillota; Negativicutes; Veillonellales; Veillonellaceae. The record is from Rfam by way of RNAcentral.